GUGCCAGCAGCCGCGGUAAUACGGAGGGUGCGAGCGUUAAUCGGAAUUACUGGGCGUAAAGCGUGCGUAGGCGGUUCGUUAAGUCAGAUGUGAAAGCCCCGGGCUUAACCUGGGAACUGCAUUUGAAACUGGCGGACUAGAGUUGAGUAGAGGGGAGUGGAAUUUCAGGUGUAGCGGUGAAAUGCGUAGAUAUCUGAAGGAACACCAGUGGCGAAGGCGACUCCCUGGACUCAAACUGACGCUGAGGUACGAAAGCGUGGGUAGCAAACAGGAUUAGAAACCCCGGUAGUCC
RNAcentral lists this ribosomal RNA (292 nucleotides) under uncultured bacterium. RNAcentral describes it as "partial 16S ribosomal RNA". It matches the Rfam family "Bacterial small subunit ribosomal RNA", at positions 505 to 796 of the family's 1533-position model. The record is from RNAcentral.